UACGUAGGGGGCAAGCGUUGUCCGGAUUUAUUGGGCGUAAAGAGCGUGUAGGCGGCCAGACAGGUCCGUUGUGAAAACUCGAGGCUCAACCUCGAGACGCCGAUGGAAACCGUCUGGCUAGAGUCCGGAAGAGGAGAGUGGAAUUCCUGGUGUAGCGGUGAAAUGCGUAGAUAUCUGGAGGAACACCGGUGGCGAAGGCGGCAUCCUGGACCGAUACUGACGCUGAGGAGCGAAAGCCAGGGGAGCAAACGGG
This 253-nucleotide ribosomal RNA is filed under the name uncultured bacterium. RNAcentral describes it as "partial 16S ribosomal RNA". It matches the Rfam family "Bacterial small subunit ribosomal RNA", at positions 524 to 776 of the family's 1533-position model. The record is from RNAcentral.